Cannabis sativa is the source of this 1427-nucleotide long non-coding RNA. RefSeq lists it as uncharacterized. The transcript is spliced from 2 exons. NCBI's taxonomy places the organism in Eukaryota, Viridiplantae, Streptophyta, Magnoliopsida, Rosales, Cannabaceae. The record is from RefSeq and is a predicted model, not a curated record.
UCCAGUUUAUAUAGGUAUUUGGUAUAUUAAGUGUGAUACAAUUAAAUUAUUAUUAUUAUUAUUAUUAUUUUUAUUAUUAUUAUUAUUAUUAUUAUUAUUAUUAUUGUUGUUGUUGUUGUUGUUGUUGUGCGUGUGUGAUUAGAAAAAAAUGAUAUAUAUAUAUAUUAAAUAGUGAGAUAAAUAAAUAGUGAAGCAUUAGAUUAGUUAGUUAGUUUAAAAUUUAAAAUUUAAAUUUAAAUCAGCAUAAUUUUAUCUGAUUAGUUAGAUAUUUAUUUUUAAAUUUAAACCUAUUAUACGAUAUGUUAUAUACGUAUAUACUCUAUAACCCUAGCAGCCAGAUAGUAUCGUAUUCCCUUAUUCUCACCAUCUCUCAAUUUCCUUUUUUUUUAUUCUCUCUAUUGAACCAAAUCAAUUGUUUUAAUCUUAAGAGCUUCGGGGUUAGCAAUCAACCGAUCAUCGUUCCGUGUCUUCGAAAUCUUCAGGGCCUAGAAGGUAUCGUAGGAGUUAAUUACAGCGGAGUUGAGGUAAGGAAAAAUAAUUAUACUUUAUACUUGCUUUUUAUAUGGUUUGAGUACCUAGUAUGACUGCUUGAAUAAAUUGUAUUGAAACUGUGGAAUGUGAUAGUUUCGGUGAAAUAUUAGUGUUUUGUCGAUGGAUUGUAUAUGGCUGUUUAAUCAUGUUCCAGGUACUUGGAAGUGGUUGGAAACCACACAUGUAUGGUGAUGUGGUAAGUGAGGCAGUGUACGUAAGGGUGCACUGGUUAUUGGUACUGCGUUCUGGUUAAGAACGUAAGACACUCCAGAUUUGUAUGGAAGCUGGUGUGUGAUUGUGAGUGUGAGUAUGUGGUAUUUCAGUAUUUGUGUGGCUGCCUCUAUUUAUACUUAUGAUUAGGUUGUUGUAUGUUUGAUGUAUAUGUUUGUGCUAUGAUGUGUGAAUGCUGGUACAUAGUAUUUUGUUUUCCUUACUGGGCUUUGCAGCUCACCCCUUAUUUACCCCCUAUGUGCAGAUAAGUAAGCCUGUAAGCUUUCGGUGACAAGUUGAGUCUGGGCAGCAUGGGGUGUAUCUCGUGUGAUCAUGUAACUGCGUGUGGUCUUGGCCAUCUUCCGCUGAAAGUUUUUUUUUUAAAUUUAUUAAACUUAUCGAGGAUGUUGUCGUUUAAAUUUUCUAUUACUUUUCCCUAAGUGGUAAUACUUUAUUUUCAACUGGGUACCCAUGUUUUGAAAAGAGUUUUUUUUUUUUUUUAAAAAAAUAAAGGCAACAUUAGUAUCUUAACGCCAGUUUAUUUAUGGCAUCUUAUUUUACGUAAGUAAGGGCGUUACAAAUGGUACCAGAGCCACAGUUACAUUGAUCUUGAAUUCACGCGACAUACACACCAUCGCUGCAAAGGAUCAACUUGUCAUCAAGUAUGUAUGCUUUAUAUAUGUUAU